GGAGAGAGAGAGAGAUCAAACACGUAGCUACUGGUACAUACCCUUAGCCCCGAGGAUGAACUACUCCCUCCUCGCCACGGCCUUUCUCGGGAUGAUUAAGAUGGCCACUGAUUAUGAUUUCCCCCUCCAUUAGAGUACCGAAAAUGCUCUAUAUAGGUUUUCCUUUGAUACAGAGAGUUGCGGCAGUGGAGCAGAAGUUGUAGGUUAACUUUCAGGGAUUUCUAGAUUUAUAGGAAAUUUCAGCAUUGGAAUCACGCUAGUUAGAGCCACAUGGGUCAUAGAAGGUAACACGGAUCCCUCUUGGCUUUUGGCCCACUGGUUUUCCCCUCCGGGGGUUCUUCGCUCCGGUAUUUCUUAUUUUCUCCAUAAAAAAAUCAUAAGUAAGUUUUGGGCCAUUCCGAGAACUUUUAUUUUUUGUACAAAAACAGUACCACGGUAAUUGUGCUAAAAACAACGUCACUACGGGUUAGCUCUAAAUAAAUCAUGUAAAGUGCAUCAAAAUCAUAUAAAAGUAUUAUAAACACAUGCAAAUAUGGCAUGAAUGCUUCAUAAAUUAUCAAUACAUUGGAGAUGUAUCAUUAACAAGCUUAGCAUUAGCCAUUGAUACCAUCCAUGCAAAAUAAUGAAAGAGGAGAGGAGAUUCACAUACAAAUAUACUAUCUUGGUCAACUUUUAUGAUUGUGAACCCCCGUAAAAUAU
RNAcentral lists this long non-coding RNA (699 nucleotides) under Hordeum vulgare. RNAcentral describes it as "long non-coding RNA (HVUL_LNC006906)". Lineage: Eukaryota; Viridiplantae; Streptophyta; Magnoliopsida; Poales; Poaceae. The record is from RNAcentral.